UUGAAGUGUUUUGAAGUUUUAAGGCGAAAGGUUCUCGAAAAUCUACAGAAAUCAGAAGUUGCUGGAAGGUUUUAAGAAGAAAGGUUCGAAGUUUGAUAAUCACUGCAAGAUUUUGAUGUUUUCGAAGUUUUGAAGUUGUUCAAAGGCUUGUAAGGUGCCACUCAUGUUAACUCUCUAUUUAUUUUUCAUAUUUUGUCGAUUCUGAAUCUCACUAUUGUUUUUGAGCUAUCUCUUUCUCUAGGUUUAUUGAAGAUUUUUUUUGAAAUUCUAGAUCUGUAGAUGUUGUUAAGUAACUGCAUGUUCAUAUUGAUGUCGAAAAAUGUACAAAAAUUGUUGUUUUAAAAGAAAAUUGUAGUUCUAAGUGUGUUGUUAUUAUUUCAAUAGAACUCAAUUUCUGUAUAUAUAUAUAUAUAUAUAUAUGUUAAUUUGUUUGAAACCUUCUAAAAAGUUUCAAGAGUUUGUAAUCUUUUCCCAGACAUAAAAGCUUGUUGGUGAUUUGGUUUACUGAAGCUCUUGAAGUGUUAUUAUUUCAGCUGAACUAUAAUAUUUUCCUUAAUUGGAGUUCUUGUUGGUUAAUAAAUGGCUAUACCAUAAAGAAAACCAUCGUACAUCCUCGUGUUUGGACAACUCAGUAUGUUGAGCUCUUGAUCUUACUAGAUUAGAUUAACUAAAGUGAAAUAUAGAUACAAAUGACAUAAGAGUAUGAGUCCAUGGCCGGCUAAAUCUACUUGUAUGUAACUUUAGUAAAUUGCCUUGAAAUGAAGUUCUAAUGGUUUUGUUAGUUCUGGAAUGUUGAGUUUUGUCUAAAAUUACCUUUGUUUGGGUCUCAAGGCUUUCAAAUUCAUUUCAAGAUAUCUUCUUACUUAUAGUUAAAAUGGAGCCUUGGGUGUGAGACCUACUUUUGUCGAGACGACCUCCCCUGAAAGUUUUGUAAGUUACAUUAAGUCCAGAAUUUUGUUUCUAAUUGGGUAACAUAUUUGGUUUACGUUGGUGGGACCCCAAAUUAUUUUCGAAGGUCCGAUUAAAACUUGGGAUUUGAAUCAUAAUGAGCUGGUGCAACACCUGCUGGUCCAGCUGCUCUUGCGGAACCAAGGCUCGAUCCUACAAAGAAGUGGUUGCACAUGCGAAGGUGACCAGGUCACCAAGCCUCGACCCUGUGAAGCCGUGGUCGCAACUACAACCUCGCCUAUGGAUCCAAAGUCUGUAAUACUAGAUUGUAUAUGUGUAAAACAAAUUGCUAGGGCCAAGGGGCUUCUCUGUUUCAGAAUUGAGGGGAAUUUAUCUUCUCUUACAAGAGAGUAUUAGGUAAUUUUUUUUGUUAUUAAUGUGAGUGUUCUAUUUUGUUUGUACAUUUGUUGUAUGGCUUCUAAAAUUCAUUGUAAAUCUAUAAUACAGCUUACUUAAAAUAUCAUGCAGGCGUUUGGACAAUAUUUGGUUGAAAUCUAAGAGUAGUUUGCGGUGAACAUGUUGAUUAUGAUAUAGCUGCAGUAAAAAAGAAGUAUUAUGAAUGUGUCUGAUUUUCCUGAAAUUCGUCAAACAAAAUGUUGAAGUUGACGCUAUUCAAAUUCAAAACUCUAAAAUCAUGGGUGAAUUCAGAACCUAUUCCUAGACUAGCAUGUGAUGAUGAAAAAGAACAUGUUCCUUGCAACAAAUGGAAAUACUUUUUUGCAUAUGAUAUUUGUUUGCAUUCACCGAACACAUAGAUUCAUGACACAUAAUUGUACUCUUUGCUAAAUUAAACCUAUCCUUUUGCAAUCUUAAGUUACCAGAUAAACAGAUGCAUAAGAUUGAACAUCAGGAGUACUAUUCGUAACCUUUUUAUCCUCACAUUGGUGACCAUGAAUUUUUAGUAGUGUUAUUUAUUGCUCCAAGUGAAAAAACAUCCAUGUGCCUUCAGAAGAGUGAGUUGUAACUGGUUUAGCAUUUCCUUGAACCCCUGCACCUCUACAACUGUUACAGGUUGACCAAUCCUUUCAUUGACAUACAUGACAUUUUUAAAGUCUCUACUAAGAAUUCAUGGUACUUGUAUAGAAGCACCUAUAGUCUGUAAAGUUUGUCAUGAGCUCUCUUUGACUUUGCUCAUUCUUUGCAUACACACUAGUGACAAUAGCUGAGAAGUUAUUACCUCGCCUACAGAGUCAGUCAACACAUUUAUCCUCGCAUUGGUGACCCAUUUUCUACUUUGCCAUAGCGACAAUAACAACAAUCAAGUCACUAGUGUGUUCUUCUUUAUUUCAUUUUUUUAUUGUGGAAGUUGGAGAGAGAUUUCCUUGGCGAUUUCUUGUGGAAUUCUAUACAUUUAGUGGAGAGUAGCUUGGGGACAUCAUAAAUGAUGUUUUUCACUCUCCUAAAUCCACUAGACCUCGUUUAGAUUCAAAUUCUUGAUAUUUAUGUUGUAUUGUUACUUUUAACUACUUAUUUUCUUUUAAUAUCCUCACAACUUAUGUUCCUUUUUUGUUUUGCUGGAUUUUUCAGGUCAUUUUCCAAUCAAUCUUGGCCGGAUUGUGGUCUACAUCUUUCUAGCAAACUUUGAUAUUUGUGUGUUCUUUGAUUUUCAACAUUAGGUACGCCAUAGCAAGAUCACUACUCAUUUAAUUUUCAAUUCUAGUCAUAGCCUCAUUAUUGAUAUUUUUUACUUUAUUUAUCCAGAUUUCUCUGCCACGCAUGAUCUCACAAUUUUCUUUUCUAGUUGUUUGUUUCCUUUACGCUAAAUAAUGACAUAUCACCAUUACUGGAAAUAUAAUUCUUGUACACAAUUCAUGAUUUUUUAUAGAUAUAUUUCACUGAAAAUAAGCUUUUUUUUAAACAUAAAUUGGUACUUUGAAUUGUUGUUUAUUCUUUUGGAUCUUCAUUUUUGGGCAGUAAGAGUCGAACAGAUUCCCAGAUGGGUCCUCAAUUGAAUUAAUUAAUUAAUUGUUUUUUUNNNNNNNNNNNNNNNNNNNNNNNNNNNNNNNNNNNNNNNNNNNNNNNNNNNNNNNNNNNNNNNNNNNNNNNNNNNNNNNNNNNNNNNNNNNNNNNNNNNNNNNNNNNNNNNNNNNNNNNNNNNNNNNNNNNNNNNNNNNNNNNNNNNNNNNNNNNNNNNNNNNNNNNNNNNNNNNNNNNNNNNNNNNNNNNNNNNNNNNNNNNNNNNNNNNNNNNNNNNNNNNNNNNNNNNNNNNNNNNNNNNNNNNNNNNNNNNNNNNNNNNNNNNNNNNNNNNNNNNNNNNNNNNNNNNNNNNNNNNNNNNNNNNNNNNNNNNNNNNNNNNNNNNNNNNNNNNNNNNAGAUGAUGAAAAUACUAGAAUGAUUCACGAUGCUUGUGGAUAUACAAAUGUGGAGAAUAAUACGAAUUCUUCAGAGGGUAAUGAAGAGCCAAAUAUCCAUGCAACAAAGUUCUACAAACUGUUAAAAGAUGCUCAGAGAGAACUUUAUCCUAGUUGCACAAAAGUCUCAAAGUUGACUUUAUUGUUAAAUUACUUCACUUGAAGUGUCUUAAUCAUUGGAGAAACAAAUUGAUGGAUGAGUUAUUAAUCCACUUUAAAGAAGUUCUUCCCGAUGGGUCAUUUGUGCCUACCUCUUUCUAUGAAGUAAAUAAAGUUCUUCGUGCCCUAGGCUUGGGGUAUACCAAAAUAGAUGCAUGUAAGAAUGAUGGUAUUUUAUAUUGGCGCGAUUAUGCCAAUGCCCAAUCAUGUCCCAAGUGUGGUAAGUCUAGAUGGAAGUCACAGAAACACAAAGGCAAGAAAGUAGCUCAUAAGGUAUUGCGACAUUUUCCUAUCAAACCAAGGCUUCAAUGACUAUACAUGGCAAAAGAGACAUCAAAGAAAAUGAGGUGGCACAAGGAAAAAAAUAUUGAUGAUGGUGUCAUGUGACAUCCGUCUAACUCAAUAGAAUGAAAAUCUUUCAAUGAGCGUCAUCCUACUUUUUCAGAUGAAUUAAGAAAUGUCCAACUAGGUUUAGCAAGCGACGGAUUCCAACAUUAUGGAGAUAUGAGUACCAAUCAUAGCAUUUGGCCUGUCAUUCUAGUUACAUAUAAUUUGCCACCAUGGGAUUGCAUGAAGAGUUCAUAUUUCAUGAUCACACUUCUUAUUCCAGGCCCUAAGUCUCCUGGUAAUGAUAUUGAUGUAUACUUACAACCAAUGAUUGAAGAGUUGAAAGAAUUAUGGGAUGGGGUGAAGACUUAUGAUGCACAGUCAAAAUCUAAUUUUCUUAUGUUUGUGGCUCUCAUGUGGAUGAUUAAUGACUUUCCUACAUAUGGGGACCUUUCUGGAUGGUCAACCAAAGGAAAGCUUGCAUGCCCUUGUUGCCAUAAAGACACAUAAUCGAUUUCCUUACGUAACAAGUUGUGUUAUAUGGGGCAUCGUCGCUUCCUUCCCUCAAAUCAUCCAUGGCAUAGAAAUAGCGUGUUAUUUGAUGGGAAAGUGGAAAUAGUUGUCGCACGUGGCCCUUCAACAGGUGAUGAAGCACUUAUACAGUUACAAAAUUUGGGCAAUGUGAGAUUUGGUAAAGGACAAAAGAGAAAUCGUAAUGUUUCUGCCAAUGCUUAUAACUGGAGGAAGAAAAGUAUCUUUUUUCAUUUGCCUUACUAGAAGAGUCUUAGGUUAAGACAUAACCUAGAUAUGAUGCACAUAGAAAGAUAUGUGUCUAACAACAUUUUAUCAACUGUGAUGAGUAUUGUUGGAAAGACAAAAGACACAUUGAAAAGUAGAUAUGAUUUGGUGGACCUUGGUAUUAGGCAAGUGUUGCAUCCAAUUGAGGAUGGAGAUAAAAUUUUGUUACCGGUAGCAUGCUAUGCAUUGUCCCAUGAUGAGAAGUUCAAGCUAUGUAAUUUCUUAGCUAAUUUGAAGGUUCCGGAUGCUUUUUCAUCAAAUAUUUCAAGGUGUGUUAAUGUACUUGAGAAAAAGAUACAUGGAUUGAAGUCUCAUGAUCAUCAUGUAUUAUUGCAAGACAUUUUACCAGUUGCUAUACGUGGUUAACUGCUUAAGGAAGUGUGUGAACCAAUUAUUACCUUAGGCAAAUUUUUCAAGAAUCUAUACUCUAAGUGCUUGACAAUUGAAGAUCUUGAUAUCCUUGACGCUGAAAUUCCAAUCAUAUUGUGUAAACUUGAAAUGGUUUUCCUCCGGCAUUUUUGAUGUCAUGAUUCAUUUGCCGAUACACUUGGCCAGAGAGGCAAAACUUGGUGGACCAGUUCAAUAUCGGGAUAUGUACUCUAUUGAGAGGUAACAUAUCAUUUUGUAAUUUCGAUGAGAAUAUGUUUUAAAUAUCAUAUUUUAUAAAUUGGAAAUCUAUUUAUAGGUAUUUUGCGAACACUUAAAUCAUAUAUUCGCAAUCCUGGUCAUCCAAAAGGUGCAAUUGCUGAAGGUCAUGACGCAAAUGAAGGCAUUACAUUUUUCUCACACUAUUUUAAGAGUAUCUCAACUAAGUUCAAUAAACCAACAAGAAAUGAUGAUGGAUUUGAAUCAAACGGUGAGAUGUCUAUCUUUAAAAAAAGUGGGCAAACAAAGGGGUCUUUUGAUGGAAAGAAACUACCCCAUGAUGAAUUCAACCAAACAGUUUUGUAUAUUCUUCAAAAUUGUGAAGAGGUUUCACCUUUCAUAGAGUAAGGUUCUUAUUAAUUUAGAUUUAAUUUCACAUAAAGAUAUUUUAAUUAACCUUAACUAACACAAAAUGUAGGGAAUACAUGAGAGAGAUUGAAAUACAAGGUUCAACGAGACCUCAUGGAAUGCUGAAUAAUGAUUUUAUUAAUUGGUUUCGUGCACGUGUAAGAAUUUAUGAAAAACACUUAAUUAACUAUUACUGUUGACAUCUAAGUAUGAACAAGUCUUAUUUUUUGUAGAUAUUUGUACUAGUUCACAAGGACGCACAACUGAUGAGCUCAUAAGCUUAGUUGUAGGUCCAGAACCAUUGGUGCAUCGAUAUUCAAUAUUUAUGGUGAAGGGAUUUAGGUUACAAACAAAAGAGCUUGUGAGAAAAACACAGAACAGUGGAGUUCUUGUGAGAGGAGAUGAUUCAGACUCUAAUAAGGAGUAUUAUGGUGUAUUAGAGGACAUUUACGAGUUACGCUACGUUGGAAAUAGAAAAGUUCAUCUAUUCAAGUGUCACUGGUGGGAUGUGGCUCGCCUAGGAAGAGGAUGUAAGAUUGACAAAUAUGGUUUUACAAGUGUGAAUAUUCAUUGUGCCUUAAAUACAAAUGAGCCAUUUGUGUUGGCAUCUCAGUCUGAACAAGUCUUCUAUUUGAAAGACAUAGUUGACAAAGAUUGGCUCGUUGUUGUAAAGACAAAUCCUCGAGAUCUUUUUAAUAUGCCUGAAGUUGAAGAAGCAGUAAUGAAUGAAGAAGGUUAUCAACAAGAGGAAGUGGAAUGUAAUAUUUUGUGUCCCAAUGACCAUGAACCUGAUAUUCAUGUGUCUUUAUACAGGGAUGAUGUUGAACCACAAACUGUUUUGCGUAACAAUGAUCAAGAAAAUGAGGAAGAUAAUUUCAUUAAUGACAAUCAUACAGAUGUACCUGGGAGUGAAGAAACCGAAGAACAGUUACUAGAUGAUGAUGAUGGAGAAGACAGUGAUGAAUACUUUUGAUGAUUGAGAAACAAAGACUACUGAAAUAGAUGUUUAACACUUGUUUUGAUAAGUUCUCUAUAUUUUGUUCUUAUUGGGCUAACAUGAAAUUAAUUCAUGACAUUUGUAGCUUUAACUUUGUAAAUAGAAUCAGCAUUUUAAGUAAAAUCAAUGCUUUACAUUUCCAUCAAUGAAACAAUAGUACUUGUUAGUAAAGUGUCCCACAUUUUUUACUUGUUUAAUAUAAUACUCUGCUUUAUGAAUCGAUAUUUUCCUUGGCAGGUAGAUAUAAUAAGCUUUAAUUUCUGAUUCUGAUACUUCUCUUUUUAUAUCUAAUGUUCCAGGAAAUGAAAGGAACUGGUCGAGGUAACGGUAAUAGUGGAAGAGAUGGUGCAAGAGGUGGACGUGGAAAUUUUCGAGAACGUGAAUGUUUUGGUACUACAUCUCAGCUACCAAUACAACAAAUAAGAGUUGCUGAAGUAUCAUUGGAGAAAGGACAGAGACCUGACCCCAAGUCAAGGACGUCUACAGGCGGAACAAAUAUACAAGUGAUCCUCUCCAAAGAACAUCUCCAGGGACACAAUCAUCAAGAAAUCUAGAAGAAAGUAUAUGUCCCUCCCUAGAGGUUGAAAUUGUUGCAGGUUAGUUCACGUACCUCCCUAGUAGAUAGACUCAAUUGCUUAGUAUCAAGCAACUUCAGCACAUGAUGAGUGCAGUUGGUUCAACACAGUUGACUGCAUGAUGUUGAUUUUGGUUCUCAUGUGAUACUUAUUCUUUUUGCAAGUAUAUUAGGUGUAGUAAUACGAGUGUAUAUCAAUUUUGACCGGGAAUGUAGAGCUAGUUAUUGCUUCAUUCUUGUUUACGAGUGUAGCCAUGUUACAACAUGAAUCUCUAGCAGAAAAUAGAGUUUGUUAAAUGUUCUUAUCUAUAUAAUGAUUGAGUGUUGUUUGUUGUGUUAACUUUAUAACAAAAUUUCAAAAGACUCAAAACCCUUUAUGACAACAAUUUGGGGUCAUUGGUUUAUACUGGUGAAGUAACUAUGAAAACUAGUAUACAUUAUGAAGCAGUAGAAUGAAUAUUCAGUGAUACAUUUCUUUUACUAAUAAUUUAUUCGUUGCAGUUUCUCGCAUCAAUAGAAAGAGAGGAAGAGGG
This 7682-nucleotide long non-coding RNA is filed under the name Solanum tuberosum (potato). RNAcentral's name for it is "long non-coding RNA (STUB_LNC005787)". The record is from RNAcentral. Lineage: Eukaryota; Viridiplantae; Streptophyta; Magnoliopsida; Solanales; Solanaceae.